This 461-nucleotide ribosomal RNA is filed under the name uncultured bacterium. Its description in RNAcentral is "SSU rRNA". It matches the Rfam family "Bacterial small subunit ribosomal RNA", at positions 26 to 518 of the family's 1533-position model. The record is from RNAcentral.
AGAAUCAACGCUGGCGGCGUGCCUAACACAUGCAAGUCGAACGAGAAAGGGUAGCAAUACCUGAGUAAAGUGGCGCACGGGUGAGUAACACGUGACUAACCUACCUUUUAGUGGGGGAUAACCUAGGGAAACCUGGGCUAAUACCGCAUAAUACCUACGGGUCAAAGCAGCAAUGCGCUGAAUGAGGGGGUCGCGGUCGAUUAGUUAGUUGGCAGGGUAAUGGCCUACCAAGACUGUGAUCGAUAUCCGGCCUGAGAGGGCGCACGGACACACUGGAACUGAAACACGGUCCAGACUCCUACGGGAGGCAGCAGUGGGGAAUUUUGCGCAAUGGGGGGAAACCCUGACGCAGCAACGCCGCGUGGAGGAUGAAGUCCCUUGGGACGUAAACUCCUUUCGAUCGGGACGAUAAUGACGGUACCGGAAGAAGAAGCCCCGGCUAACUUCGUGCCAGCAGCCGC